RNAcentral lists this ribosomal RNA (487 nucleotides) under Sebacina sp. YM1116. RNAcentral's name for it is "eukaryotic LSU rRNA". The stretch from base 98 to 251 matches the Rfam family "5.8S ribosomal RNA". Lineage: Eukaryota; Fungi; Basidiomycota; Agaricomycetes; Sebacinales; Sebacinaceae. The record is from RNAcentral.
CCUCUUGUGAACCAUUGGCCUUUGCUGGCUUCCGCUGGUAAAGGAUUUACACAAACACGAAUGUAAUGAAAUAAUGUUGUGCUAAGCACUAAUAUACAACUUUCAACAACGGAUCUCUUGGCUCUCGCAUCGAUGAAGAACGCAGCGAAAUGCGAUAAGUAAUGUGAAUUGCAGAAUUCAGUGAAUCAUCGAAUCUUUGAACGCACCUUGCACCCUUUGGUAUUCCAAAGGGUAUGCUCGUUUGAGUGUCAUUAUACUCUCACACUCUCUGAUGAGAGAGCGGUGGACUUGGAUGUUGCCUGGUGCUUACUGUCAGGCUCGUCUAAAAUGAAUUAAUACGACUCCUAAUUAAACAUAUACNGCGUUAUAACUAAACCCUCNCUGUUUUCUGUCUGAUCAUGGGUUCUGUGCUUCAAACCGUCUUCGGACAAUAUCUGAUAACUUGACCUCAAAUCGAGUAAGAUUACCCGCUGAACUUAAGCAUAUC